Molecule: ribosomal RNA, 442 nt
Filed under: uncultured bacterium
Lineage: Bacteria
Description: partial 16S ribosomal RNA
Rfam family: Bacterial small subunit ribosomal RNA
Source: RNAcentral
CCUACGGGAGGCAGCAGUGGGGAAUAUUGGGCAAUGGGCGCAAGCCUGACCCAGCAACGCCGCGUGAAGGAAGAAGGCUUUCGGGUUGUAAACUUCUUUUCUCAGGGACGAAUAGAUGACGGUAACUGAGGAAUAAGCCACGGCUAACUACGUGCCAGCAGCCGCGGUAAUACGUAGGUGGCAAGCGUUAUCCGGAUUUGCUGGGGGUAAAGGGAGUGUAGGCGGGGACGCAAGUCAGAUGUGAAAAAUACGGGCUCAACCUGUGGCCGGCAUUUGAAACUGUGGUUCUUGAGUACUGGAGAGGAAGGCGGAAUGCGUGGUGUAGCGGUGAAAUGCGUAGAUAUUAGGCGGAACACCGAUGGCGAAGGCGGUCUGCUGGACAGCAACUGACGCUGAGGCACGAAAGCGUGGGGAGCGAACAGGAUUAGAUACCCCUGUAGUC